GAUGAAGAACGUAGCGAAAUGCGAUAAGUAAUGUGAAUUGCAGAAUUCAGUGAAUCAUCGAAUCUUUGAACGCACCUUGCACCCUUUGGCAUUCUGAAGGGUAUGCUCGUUUGAGUGUCAUUGUACUCUCACACUCCCGAUCUUUGCAUUGGGAGCAGUGGACUUGGGUUUGCUGCUUCUCCGUCGCUUACCUCAAAUAGGUUAGUGCAACUCUUGGUUGGACAUAGUACGGCGUGAUAAGUGUUCUUCGCCGGUGCCUCGCAAAGAGGGUGGCCGAUCGGGAUGUUGUGCUCCAAACCGUCUUCGGACAAUCUCUGACGACUUGACCUCAAAUCGAGUAAGACUACCCGCUGAACUUAAGCAUAUCAAUAAGCGGAGGA
RNAcentral lists this unclassified non-coding RNA (380 nucleotides) under soil metagenome. Its description in RNAcentral is "partial contains 5.8S ribosomal RNA, internal transcribed spacer 2, and large subunit ribosomal RNA". The stretch from base 1 to 120 matches the Rfam family "5.8S ribosomal RNA", at positions 35 to 154 of the family's 154-position model. The record is from RNAcentral.